UUAUAUUACAUGACCCCUCUUCUCCUUAUGACCAGUUCCCCACCUUUUAGGGUCAUCUGUUGGUGCUCCUCGUUCUUCUAUUGGAAGGGAAGGCAUCAUAUCCUACGGGAGGCAGCAGUGGGGAAUAUUGCACAAUGGGGGAAACCCUGAUGCAGCAACGCCGCGUGAGUGAUGACGGUCUUCGGAUUGUAAAGCUCUGUCUUUAGGGACGAUAAUGACGUACUAGAGAGCCCGUC
Molecule: ribosomal RNA, 236 nt
Filed under: uncultured Clostridium sp.
Lineage: Bacteria; Bacillati; Bacillota; Clostridia; Eubacteriales; Clostridiaceae
Description: partial 16S ribosomal RNA
Rfam family: Bacterial small subunit ribosomal RNA
Source: RNAcentral